Rosa rugosa (rugosa rose) is the source of this 852-nucleotide long non-coding RNA. RefSeq lists it as uncharacterized. The record is from RefSeq and is a predicted model, not a curated record. The transcript has 5 exons. Lineage: Eukaryota; Viridiplantae; Streptophyta; Magnoliopsida; Rosales; Rosaceae.
AUGAAUUUACUUCGGCAAGCAUUAGCCGUCGCAAGUUUUUAACAGUUUGCUACUGCAAAACACUUGCCGUCGCUUUAGGGUGGUUAUCUGAACGAUUCUAUCUCUUUAAUUAAAAGAAAACUUCUUUUCUUUCUCUGCGCUGCUCUCUUUCUUCUUUGACCCCAUGACUCCAUCUCGAUCCGACACUGAUGAUUACUUUCAGAUUUCCUCUCUAGAUCUGCCAAAUUCGUAGCAGAAUGUAACCGCCGACUAAUUGCUUCGAUUUCGGUCCUGUCAAGUUUACCAGGCUAUCUACAAACCAAUCGUUCCUCUCAAGAUCCUUCCUUUGGGUGAGAAACAAAAGGAAAAGAGAACUUAAUUGGGAAAGGUGGGCAAGCAGAAGCUCACAUUAGCCACCCCAAUGCUGUUUAAUUGCUUGGAUUUGGCAUCAAUGGUGUUUGCAAACAGAGAUAAAGACAAUAUUUUAGCAGGGUAGAUGGAGAAGGGAUUUGAAGAUGCAGAAUGAGUCAACGUAAUGGUGGUCAGAAGUUGGAGCUGCACGAUUCAGUACGAGAGGGGGGUCAAAACAUGGAACUGAUGCAUGAUCGCGUUUUAAAAUAUCCAGAUCGUGUUCAGAAUUUGUACUUCACAUUCCUCUUUGUUCUCCGGGCAGUGACAAAAAUAGAAAACGGACACAUAUCUUGAGGAAGAUGGAGGAAGAUCCCUGCAAAGCUUUUCUUGAAGUAGAGGAAGAAAAGUACCUUGUAUUAUCUUGUAAACUCUUGUAUAAGAGCUUCAUUGCUUUUGUAACAUUCAUGAGAAAAAUCAAAAUGUAACAUUCCCUUUUCAAUAUGUUUAAUUCCUUUUUGUACA